GGUGAAAAUUAGAGAUAAGUGGCAUUUAAAAGAGGGAAAAAAAUUUGAAAAAAAUGUGAGGAAAAGGCAAGGAAAAUGAGAGGCAAAAGUUAUAAGAAUGGUGGUGAGAGGAUUAGCAAGUGUUGCUAGUAUACUCUAGGGUUUGAUUUUUUCAUGUGUUAGAGUCUAAAAUCAAAUCCUAGAUUAUGACAUCUGAAGAGUGUCUUCUUGGCAUGAUUUUGAUGACAAGAUUGAAGGCGACCGGGUUUUAGUGUGAUCGUACUUUGAGUUCGAAGUCGGCAGUAUUCUUAAGAAGACAAGGUUGCAGCGGUACAC
RNAcentral lists this long non-coding RNA (315 nucleotides) under Elaeis guineensis (African oil palm). Its description in RNAcentral is "long non-coding RNA (EGUI_LNC052974)". The record is from RNAcentral. Lineage: Eukaryota; Viridiplantae; Streptophyta; Magnoliopsida; Arecales; Arecaceae.